AUACUUACUGGCAGGGGAGGUACCAUGACCACAAAGGUGGUUUUCCGAGGAUGAGGCUUAUCCAUUUCACACCGGAUGUGCUGACCCCCUGCAAUUUCCCCAAAUGUGGGAAACCUGACUGCAUAAUUUGUGGUAGUGGGGAACUGCAUUCAUGCUUUA
Gorilla gorilla gorilla (western lowland gorilla) is the source of this 159-nucleotide small nuclear RNA. Its record names the gene U1. It matches the Rfam family "U1 spliceosomal RNA". From Rfam's summary of the family: U1 is a small nuclear RNA (snRNA) component of the spliceosome (involved in pre-mRNA splicing). Its 5' end forms complementary base pairs with the 5' splice junction, thus defining the 5' donor site of an intron. NCBI's taxonomy places the organism in Eukaryota, Metazoa, Chordata, Mammalia, Primates, Hominidae. The record is from Ensembl.